RNAcentral lists this unclassified non-coding RNA (504 nucleotides) under Artemisia tridentata (big sagebrush). RNAcentral's name for it is "partial external transcribed spacer". Lineage: Eukaryota; Viridiplantae; Streptophyta; Magnoliopsida; Asterales; Asteraceae. The record is from RNAcentral.
UUCCUGAUUUUCCCAUCGUUCGGGGCAUUCUGGGGCUGUUUUGGCUAUUGGUUGCCUGUUUGGUCAUGAACCGAAUGGGUGGCUUCUAGCCUGGUGGCUUCGGGGAUGUUGACCGUAAAGGUGGAUGAGUGGUGGUUGGUUUGUUACGUGUGGUUGGCUGCGGCGUUUGCAACAACUUCCAUGCUUUCAGACCUCUUCAGUUGUGCGGCAAGGCUUGUAUCGCCUUGAGCGUAUUGUGGGUUUUCUGUGUUGAAUACCUAAUCAAUGGUAUCGGUUGGAUUGAUCAAUGUUUCAUUUCGUCUGUCGUCGCAUUCGCGGCGUGAGAUGAACCUUGAUGCGGUCUCUUUGAUCCACCUCGUUGAAGCGCAUGCUUUGACGUUGUGGCGCAUUGAGCAUUGCUUGGUCUCUUGUAUGCGGAACAUGUAGUGGGCAUGAAUCUCACGAUUCUUGUUUGCCCUCAUAUUAGCGUAACGCUUCUCUUACACGACUUGCUCCACGUUUUAG